This 220-nucleotide ribosomal RNA is filed under the name uncultured bacterium. RNAcentral's name for it is "partial 16S ribosomal RNA". It matches the Rfam family "Bacterial small subunit ribosomal RNA", at positions 524 to 742 of the family's 1533-position model. The record is from RNAcentral.
UACGAAGGGGGCUAGCGUUGCUCGGAAUCACUGGGCGUAAAGGGUGCGUAGGCGGGUCUUUAAGUCAGGGGUGAAAUCCUGGAGCUCAACUCCAGAACUGCCUUUGAUACUGAAGAUCUUGAGUUCGGGAGAGGUGAGUGGAACUGCGAGUGUAGAGGUGAAAUUCGUAGAUAUUCGCAAGAACACCAGUGGCGAAGGCGGACUCACUGGCCCGAUACUG